GCAAGACAGGAUGCGCGGUCGGGGGAUGCCUCGGCACGUGGUGCCGAAGAAGGACGCGGGCCAGCAGCGAAAGGGCAGGGGAGGCGCAACCAGCCGAUGAGCCUGCCGUCUCCGAAUGGGGCAACCCGCCGGUCGCAGGACCGGCACACCCGGACGGUCGUUCGGGUGGGGGAACCCGGCGAACUGAAACAUCUUAGUAGCCGGAGGAAGCGGAACACCGCCCGGAGUAGUGGCGAGCGAAACGGGCCGCUGCCCAAACCGCUGGCGUGCCAAGGGGGCAGCCGUUGCGCCAGCGGGGUUGUGAGACUGCGCGAGGCGCCUGCCUGCGCCUCAGCCGUGCGCGCGCGCGACCAGAAGCGUCUGGGAUGACGCGCCAGAGAGGGUGAGAGCCCCGUAUGGGCAGCCCGCGCGCGCGGUGCGCAGCAUCUCGAGUACCACGGGACACGAGCAAUCCCGUGGGAAGCUGGGGGGACCACCCUCCAAGGCAACCUACACCACGUGACCGAUAGCGCACAGUACCGUGAGGGAACGGUGAAAAGCACCCCGGCGAGGGGAGUGAAAGAGAGCCUGAAACCGACCGCGUCCAGGCAGUCAGAGCCGCAGGCGGGGCGCAUGCCGCGCGCGGUGAUGGCGUGCCUUUUGGAGUAUGACCCGACGAGUGGCUGGACGUCGCCGCCUAAGCCAGCGACAGGCGGAGGCCGAGCGAACGCGAGUGUGACAAGCGCGCGAUGGUGGCGGUCAGCCGACCCGAAACCGUGUGAGCUACCCAUGGCCAGGCUGCAGCGCCCGUAACAGGGCGUGAAGGGCCGCACCGGUGUCUGUUGCAAAAGGCUCGGAGGAGCUGUGGGUAGGGGUGAAAUGCCAAACGAACACGGAGAUAGCUGGUUCUCCCCGAAAUGCAUUGAGGUGCAGCCGGCCACUGACGGAUGGCGGGGGUAGAGCACUGUUGCGACGCGGGGGCUUCACCGCCUACCAACUCGCGGCAAACUGCGAAUACCGCCACCCGCGUGGACCGCGUGAGACGGCGCGUGCCAACAUGCGCUGUCGAGAGGGCAACAACCCAGACCCGCCGCUAAGGUCCCCAAGUGGGCGCUCAGUCGCAAAGGAAGUGGCGCUGCUCAGACAACCAGGAGGUUGGCUUAGAAGCAGCCAUCCUUGAAAGAGUGCGUAAUAGCUCACUGGUCGAGGAGCGCCGCGCCGACAAUGGACGGGGAUAAGCGCCCCACCGAAGCGCGGGACCGGCCCGCACGGGCCGGUGGUAGGGGAGCGUCGUGCGCUGGGCGAAGGUCGAGCGCAAGCCCGGCUGGACGGCGCACGAGUGCGAAUGUCGGGAUGAGUAACGCAGGUGGGGUGCGAACCCCCACCGCCGGAAGCCCAAGGGUUCCGCUGCACGGGCACUCCGCAGCGGGUGAGUCGGGCCUAAGCCGAGGCCGCAAGGCGUAGGCGAUGGACAGCUGGUGGAGAUUCCAGCACCGGUUGGGCGCGCUGAAGCGCCGCGAUCCUGGGCGGCAGGGUGCGCGACCAGACGAGGGUCGUUCAAGCUGGUAGGCCGCAAGGCCGAGAAGCGAGCACGAGCGGGCGCCGUGCGGCGCGCCGCAAGGCACCCGGGCCUGAACAGGCACGAAAGGCGUGGCGGGGAGCGGCCAACCGCCCGUACCGCAAACCGACACAGGUGGGCUGGCUGAGGAAGCCAAGGCGGACGAGCGAACCCUGGUCAAGGAACUCGGCAAAAUGAUCCCGUACCUUCGGAAGAAGGGAUGCUCGCUGGCGUGAGGCCCCUGGCGGGCGGAGCGCGGGCGAGCCGCAGAGCCCAGGCCCAUGCGACUGGUUACCAAAACCUUAGGUCCCUGCUAAGCCGGAAGGCGACGUAUAGGGGCUGAUGCCUGCCCAGUGCCGGAAGGUUAAGGGGAGGCGUGCAAGCGCUGAACCGAAGCCCCGGUAAACGGCGGCCGUAACUAUAACGGUCCUAAGGUAGCGAAAUUCCUUGUCGGGUAAGUUCCGACCCGCACGAAAGGCAUAACGACAUGGGCACUGUCUCGACCGGGGGCUCGGUGAAAUUGAAGUGGCGGUGAAGAUGCCGCCGACCCACACCAGGACAAAAAGACCCCGUGGAGCUUUACUCUAGCUUGCCACUGUGGAUGCGACGCGGCUGCGUAGGAUAGGUGGGAGCCUGCGAAGCCGCCCUUGCGGGGGCGGUGGAGGCGCCGGUGAAAUACCACUCUGCCGCGUGGCGUCCACUCACCGGUUGGGACGACAACCGGGACCGUGGCUGGUGGGGAGUUUGACUGGGGCGGUCGCCUCCCAAAAGGUAACGGAGGCGCCCAACGGUUCCCUCAGGGUGGAUGGCAAUCACCCGUGGCGUGCAAGGGCACAAGGGAGCUUGACUGCAAGGGAGACCACCCGCGCAGGGACGAAAGUCGGGCCUAGUGAUCCUACGGUACCGCGUGGAAGGGCCGUAGCGUACCGGAUAAAAGCUACCCCGGGGAUAACAGGCUGAUCCUGCCCAAGAGUUCAGAUCGACGGCAGGGUUUGGCACCUCGAUGUCGGCUCGUCGCAUCCUGGGGCUGGAGCCGGUCCCAAGGGUUGGGCUGUUCGCCCAUGAAAGCGGCACGCGAGCUGGGUUCAGAACGUCGUGAGACAGUUCGGUCUCUAUCCGGUGUGGGCGCGUAGGUGCGUGCGUGGGGCUGCCCCUAGUACGAGAGGACCGGGGUGGACGACCCGCUGGUGGAGCAGUUGUCGGGCGACCGGCAGGCUGCGUAGCUACGGUCGGAAGGGCGAAGCGCUGAAUGCAUCUAAGUGCGAACCCCGCCACAAGACGACGCACCUCACCGUCAAGGACGGGUAAGGGCCCGGCGAGAUGAGCCGGCAGACCGACGCGCGGUGGAGGCCGGGUGACCGGUAGAGCCGACGCGCACGGACGCCCGAGCGGCUUGCCUG
Molecule: ribosomal RNA, 2937 nt
Rfam family: Bacterial large subunit ribosomal RNA